GAUAAUGAAAUAAAAUGUAAAGUGGCGCCACCUAUAGAACCAGGUGAGACGUGGCGAGGAACAAGGCAAGCAUUUCCCGCCUGAGCUUAGCCACAGGAACAAGCCACUCACCUGAGGGUUCCUUACGCCUGAUUGGUCCUAAAUAUUGGGUUAACGAGUGUGACGUGAUUGGCACGGAGGUCGUCCGACUCGCCCGAGGGAGUCGCACAUAGCCAACUUAUAAUCCUCGGGACGGAGGUGUAGAAGCAGGUGCGUACGAAGAUGAGUACGGCGCCGACGUGAGUGACGACAGAACAACGAACACUCGUGAACUACUAGCUACGCUCCGAUAUAUGUGCCAUUGCCAAAGCGUGAGCAAACAGAGUUUUGCAAUGUGGUGCUUGUGGUGAGUGUACGACCUAUAGAAAAUGGUGUGUGAAACUGUUCACAAAUGAUUCAAUGUUCGAUGCGGAAUCUUAAGGUCACUAUUUAAAGGUAUUUUAAGGGGGAGGUAUUAGGUAGCUGUAGGUAGGUUUUCUCUUUUGUGGUUGUACGUAUUUACUCAAGGUCUUUUUUUGUACAUAUUUAUUCAAUAAAUUGUAAUAGUGAAAUGUUUUUUUUUGUAUUCAUCCUUAACCAUAGACCUCAAUCAAAGAGGUGAUCCAUAAGAAGGUAACUGGUGGAGGGCCCAGGCCAGUGAGGGAGCUUGCACCAAGAUUAAUUUAAUUGUCUGACUCUCCCACC
Penaeus monodon (black tiger shrimp) is the source of this 723-nucleotide long non-coding RNA. RefSeq lists it as uncharacterized. The record is from RefSeq and is a predicted model, not a curated record. The transcript is spliced from 3 exons. NCBI's taxonomy places the organism in Eukaryota, Metazoa, Arthropoda, Malacostraca, Decapoda, Penaeidae.